This 72-nucleotide transfer RNA is filed under the name Phycisphaeraceae bacterium. RNAcentral's name for it is "tRNA-Phe". It matches the Rfam family "tRNA". Rfam says of the family: Transfer RNA (tRNA) molecules are approximately 80 nucleotides in length. The record is from RNAcentral. Lineage: Bacteria; Pseudomonadati; Planctomycetota; Phycisphaerae; Phycisphaerales; Phycisphaeraceae.
CGCUGGUUCGCUUAGGCGGUAAAGCGCCCGGUUGAAGCCCGGGAGCCCCCCGUUCGAAUCGGGGACCAGCGG